RNAcentral lists this ribosomal RNA (418 nucleotides) under uncultured bacterium. Its description in RNAcentral is "bacterial SSU rRNA". It matches the Rfam family "Bacterial small subunit ribosomal RNA", at positions 355 to 786 of the family's 1533-position model. The record is from RNAcentral.
UCGGGAAUAUUGCGCAAUGGAGGAAACUCUGACGCAGUGACGCCGCGUGCAGGAAGAAGGUUUUCGGAUUGUAAACUGCUUUAGACAGGGAAGAAACAAGACAGUACCUGUAGAAUAAGCUCCGGCUAACUACGUGCCAGCAGCCGCGGUAAUACGUAGGGAGCAAGCGUUAUCCGGAUUUAUUGGGUGUAAAGGGUGCGUAGACGGGAAGGCAAGUUGGUUGUGAAAUCCCUCGGCUUAACUGAGGAACUGCAACCAAAAACUAUCUUUCUUGAGUGCUGGAGAGGAAAGUGGAAUUCCUAGUGUAGCGGUGAAAUGCGUAGAUAUUAGGAGGAACACCAGUGGCGAAGGCGACUUUCUGGACAGUAACUGACGUUGAGGCACGAAAAGUGUGGGGAGCAAAACAGGAUUAGAUACC